Molecule: ribosomal RNA, 611 nt
Filed under: uncultured Bacteroidota bacterium
Lineage: Bacteria; Pseudomonadati; Bacteroidota
Description: bacterial SSU rRNA
Rfam family: Bacterial small subunit ribosomal RNA
Source: RNAcentral
UAGUCGAGCGGGAUUGGUAACAAUACCAUGAGAGCGGCGCACGGGUGAGUAACGCGUACACGACCUACCUCUAACAGGGGGAUAGCCCUGGGAAACUGGGAUUAAUACCGCAUAUAAUUCUGAUUUAUAAAUAGUUGGAAUGAAAGUUCAGGCGGUUAGAGAUGGGUGUGCGUCUGAUUAGCUAGUUGGUGAGGUAACGGCUCACCAAGGCGAUGAUCAGUAGGGGGCGUGAGAGCGUGUCCCCCACACGGGUACUGAGACACGGACCCGACUCCUACGGGAGGCAGCAGUAAGGAAUAUUGGUCAAUGGGCGAAGGCCUGAACCAGCCAUCCAGCGUGCAGGAAGAAGGCCCUACGGGUUGUAAACUGCUUUUGCCAGGGAAGAAACCCUUGGAUUCACUCCGAGGCUGACGGUACCUGAAGAAUAAGCACCGGCUAACUCCGUGCCAGCAGCCCGCGGUAAUACGGAGGGUGCGAGCGUUAUCCGGAAUUACUGGGUUUAAAGGGUGCGUAGGCGGCUCGGUAAGUCGGGAGUGAAAGUUUGCGGCUCAACCCGUAAAAUUGCUUUUGAUACUGGCCGGCUAGAGUCAGGAUGAGGUCAGCAGAAUGUG